GACGAACGCUGGCGGCGUGCUUAACACAUGCGAGUCGAACGGAAAGGCCCUGCUUUUGUGGGGUGCUCGAGUGGCGAACGGGUGAGUAACACGUGAGUAACCUGCCCUUGACUUUGGGAUAACUUCAGGAAGCUGGGGCUAAUACCGGAUAGGAGCUCCUGCUGCAUGGUGGGGGUUGGAAAGUUUCGGCGGUUGGGGAUGGACUCGCGGCUUAUCAGCUUGUUGGUGGGGUAGUGGCUUACCAAGGCUUUGACGGGUAGCCGGCCUGAGAGGGUGACCGGCCACAUUGGGACUGAGAUACGGCCCAGACUCCUACGGGAGGCAGCAGUGGGGAAUAUUGCACAAUGGGCGGAAGCCUGAUGCAGCCACGCCGCGUGCGGGAUGACGGCCUUCGGGUUGUAAACCGCUUUCGCCUGUGACGAAGCGUGAGUGACGGCAAUGGGUAAAGAGGCACCGGCUAACUACGUG
Molecule: ribosomal RNA, 468 nt
Filed under: uncultured bacterium
Lineage: Bacteria
Description: partial 16S ribosomal RNA
Rfam family: Bacterial small subunit ribosomal RNA
Source: RNAcentral